This is a long non-coding RNA of Thalassophryne amazonica, 190 nucleotides long. RefSeq lists it as uncharacterized. The record is from RefSeq and is a predicted model, not a curated record. NCBI's taxonomy places the organism in Eukaryota, Metazoa, Chordata, Actinopteri, Batrachoidiformes, Batrachoididae. The transcript is spliced from 2 exons.
CAAAAGGAAAAGGUGUCAACCUAAAAUCCUAUGCCACAGCAGUGGUCUGCAGAGGGGAAGAGUCACAAACAGCACAAUCUGGUAAAAAACAGACAACAAUGCCACAACAUCUCAAAGACGUGAUCGAAGUCCAGUGAGACCUCCACCUGGUGACCCCACAUUCACCUUUCACAUCUACGCCGUGCUGGAU